RNAcentral lists this small RNA (69 nucleotides) under Emticicia aquatica. RNAcentral describes it as "Bacillus-plasmid". It matches the Rfam family "Bacillus-plasmid RNA". The record is from RNAcentral. Lineage: Bacteria; Pseudomonadati; Bacteroidota; Cytophagia; Cytophagales; Leadbetterellaceae.
UUUGUCAAUGGUAGCGGAGAAUUGGUUUAUCGAAUGAUUGGUGCAAUACCUAUUGACAAAUUUUUGAAU